This 253-nucleotide ribosomal RNA is filed under the name uncultured bacterium. RNAcentral's name for it is "partial 16S ribosomal RNA". It matches the Rfam family "Bacterial small subunit ribosomal RNA", at positions 524 to 776 of the family's 1533-position model. The record is from RNAcentral.
UACGUAGGGUGCAAGCGUUGUCCGGAAUUACUGGGCGUAACGCGUGCGCAGGCGGCUUUGCAAGACAGAUGUGAAAUCCCCGGGCUUAACCUGGGAACUGCAUUUGUGACUGCAUGGCUGGAGUGCGGCAGAGGGGGAUGGAAUUCCGCGUGUAGCAGUGAAAUGCGUAGAUAUGCGGAGGAACACCGAUGGCGAAGGCGAGCCCCUGGGCCUGCACUGACGCUCAUGCACGAAAGCGUGGGGAGCAAACAGG